This is a long non-coding RNA of Dreissena polymorpha, 2556 nucleotides long. RefSeq lists it as uncharacterized. The record is from RefSeq and is a predicted model, not a curated record. The transcript is spliced from 3 exons. NCBI's taxonomy places the organism in Eukaryota, Metazoa, Mollusca, Bivalvia, Myida, Dreissenidae.
UCAUAAGACAUUUCGUGAAUGUUAAGUAUGAAGGAAUCAUGCAUAUCUUCAAACGAAUUGUUACGUGUCUAUGCGGUAAAUAUAGGACAUGAGCCUUUACCCAGUUCAAGAUACGCCCACCUUCUAUCUGGAUCGGUUGAUUAAAACUACAGUGCGAGUAUCAUCUGUUAGUCUGGUCCGAUAAAUCCAACGUACCUUGGCCAUUGAUAAUUUCAGUUGACAAGUGAAACCUUGACAUUGUGCUAAAAUAACUCAUGACAAAUCUUUAUAUCUGGAUAAAGCACUCACGUGACGUAUAGUGACGUCGUAUUAAAUAGUUCGUGAAUAUUUUCAUGUCGCCGUGUGCUGUGUUGUGUUUAUUUUAUCUUGCUUUUAAAGACAGGAGUAAAUUAUUGAACAGAUAGAAUAUCACGCAAGUGUCAACGGUAAACAUUAUUCGCUCGGCAGAAAAUAUGAAAAAAGUUCUAUGGCAGCGGUUCGCAGAGCGCAGCACAAAAAGCCGAUAAGCCCCCAAAUGUUGCCACUGAAAUCUUGGUUGCACCAGCAGCCGCCAUAGACUGCAGGGUCGCAAAUAAACUUCCGGCUGGCACUGCGCCACCAAACGCCGCCAUCCAGCUGGCCGCCCAAGAUCCGGCUGCUAUUCCGCCUGCGGUGAACCCCAGUAAUGACAAAAUGGCGCCACCGCCGAAAAAUCCGAAGACAGCGACUAUGGAAACACAGACCGUGGCUAACAUGACGCUGCGUUCACCUGAAUGCGGUCCUCGGGCAGGUCUAUUUUGAGUGCGAGCACUUCCCGUGCGUACAGGUCCGGGUAGUGCGCGUCCUUGAACGCCUUCUCCAGCUCCUCCUGCUGAAACGAAGUGAAGAUCGUCCUGAAACCGGAAAUGUGGCGUAAUUUUAAACCUAUUUAUUUUAGCUCGAUUGAACUAAGUCUCAGAGAAAGGCUCUCGAGUCCGUUUCCUGUGUGGAACCAGUUCUUGGUGUUUUUGGGUUCGAUCUAAAGAACGCCCCCAUAGUGGGACUCGAAUUCGCUAAGAGGACACCAUAUCCAUUACGCCACGGCGACCUGAUUAUGUGUUCGCCUAGCGACCAGAAGGUCACGGGUUCGAUCUCUGUGGGAGCAUUUUUUUUAUCUUUCUCAAAGACACCAAAUACUGGUUCUACCCAAGAAAAAGACUCGAAGACGUUUCAAUAAGCCUAAGGCUUUCGUGCAAUUGACACAAAUUGAAAGUUUUAAACUAAAAUUGGAUCAGUUAAGUAGUGGUCCUGACACAAUAAUGUGAAUCAGUUGAAUAGUGGUCAUGGAAGGAUCAGUCAAUGUAAAAAUGAAACGGACAAGAGGAAGAGUCUAAGACUGGUUAUGAAACGAACAUCUGAAACUGUUAAAUAUUUGUCAUUAAACGGGUAUGUGGCACUGAUAAAUAUUGGUAAUGAACGGAAAACGGAACGAUUGAAUAAUGGUCCUAAACCUUAAUUGUGGAUCAGUUGAAUAUUGGUGCUGAAAUGUAAAAGUUGAACAGUUCAGUACUGAUCAUGAAAUAAAAAAUGUGAAAGUGUAAAAUAAUUGUCCUGAAACGAAUAUGUGGAUCACUUAAAAUUUAGUCUUGAAACGGAAAUGUGAAACAGUUAAAUAUAGGUUCGGAAACGGAAAUGUGAAACAGUUAAAUAUAUGUACGGAAACAGAAAUGUGAAAAUUAGUCCGUUUUAUGGGCCUUCGUCAACUUGUCAUCAAAUAAAUAUUGAUAGUGAUGAUGUAUUUUUUAAGUACAAAAUUCAGUAGUGAGUCAAACAUAUCGUUCGAUCUAUGGAAAAACAACAACAGGACAUUGAAUUUUAUAAACGUCUCAGAACCGUUCUCUCGCGGAGGUGCGAAAAAUCUGAAUUCGUAUAUAACCAAUUACGUUCCAAAGUUCUUCCACGAGAGUACGAGUAGUCUACAUGUAAACUGGGAAACCAAUUAGCCUAACAACCGACUGGACAGUGGCUAGUUGUUCACGAGGCAAUGUUCGCGACAGAAACAAGAGCCGGCCAAUUUGCAGGCUGCGUGCCCAUGAAUACGUUUAACUAGAACAAUUAGGCACACACUUAUCGUACAGAAGGAGGUUCACAUUUAGAUAUGCGGUAAAAUUUCACCAUUAUAAUAACAUUAUCUUUUUGUGAAUCAUGUAUAUGGUCAUUAAGAUAAAAUUAUAAAUAUUAUUGGCUUAAUUCAAAUUUCCUUUUCCAUCGAACUAAAGCAUUACGAUUUACCAAUAACUAUUGUUUACCGGUAGCACAUUUGUCUACUAAUGUUGUUGUUUUUUCGUUGAUUUGACUUUAUGACACAUUUCUUUUACUCAAAAUGAUUAAAAUAAACUACCGGUAUUUAAAAAACACCCAUCAGAUUUCAGAUUAGGUCAGCGCUUUUGUCGUGGUACAUUCCGUCAUACAAACUAAGCAUCGUGAAUACGCCGUAAGUUUCCAAACAUUUUGUCCAUUUUUGUACACGCCAAGGCUGUAAAGUGCAUUAAAUACAAAUUUAACUUAAUUUAUCGCAAUAUUGUUGGUCGACAGUUU